Molecule: ribosomal RNA, 465 nt
Filed under: Vreelandella stevensii
Lineage: Bacteria; Pseudomonadati; Pseudomonadota; Gammaproteobacteria; Oceanospirillales; Halomonadaceae
Description: partial 16S ribosomal RNA
Rfam family: Bacterial small subunit ribosomal RNA
Source: RNAcentral
CCUACGGGAGGCUGCAGUGGGGAAUAUUGGACAAUGGGGGGAACCCUGAUCCAGCCAUGCCGCGUGUGUGAAGAAGGCCCUCGGGUUGUAAAGCACUUUCAGUGAGGAAGAACGCCUGGUGGUUAAUACCCAUCAGGAAAGACAUCACUCACAGAAGAAGCACCGGCUAACUCCGUGCCAGCAGCCGCGGUAAUACGGAGGGUGCGAGCGUUAAUCGGAAUUACUGGGCGUAAAGCGCGCGUAGGUGGCUUGAUAAGCCGGUUGUGAAAGCCCCGGGCUCAACCUGGGAACGGCAUCCGGAACAGUCAAGCUAGAGUGCAGGAGAGGAAGGUAGAAUUCCCGGUGUAGCGGUGAAAUGCGUAGAGAUCGGGAGGAAUACCAGUGGCGAAGGCGGCCUUCUGGACUGACACUGACACUGAGGUGCGAAAGCGUGGGUAGCAAACAGGAUUAGAUACCCGGGUAGUC